CCCGCUCCGGCUUCGGCUCCAGCUCCAGCUCCUGAGGCUAAUCAUUAGUCUCAUCAAAUUGGCAAUGAGAAGAAACCAAAAACGCCACCUCUACACUGUGAUGCCUAUAUAAAUUUUCUAGAAUGGUUGGAUACCAUCCAUCAUUUUUGUAAACAUUAGCUAUUGUAAUAUGAUAACUAGAUUCAACUUAAAAGGGCUGCAUUUUCCCUGAAUUGAAAUUUUAUAUGAUUUGCUUAGAUUCUGUGGUAGAAUUCUGAUUGAUGUCUUCAGUGAUUUGAUGUUGAUUACAAGGACGAGAAUGUAUUUUUUUGCCAAAAAAUACAUUCUCGUCCUUGUAAUCAACAUCUGACGGUACUCAAUGUCUAAUGCCUUCUAACUUGAGUUUCUGGACCACUGAGUCUGUAUGUGAUGAAUCAUCUUAUGAAAGCCAUGUUUUACGCAUACUCGG
Molecule: unclassified non-coding RNA, 448 nt
Filed under: Hevea brasiliensis (rubber tree)
Lineage: Eukaryota; Viridiplantae; Streptophyta; Magnoliopsida; Malpighiales; Euphorbiaceae
Source: RNAcentral